GACGAACGCUGGCGGCGUGCUUAACACAUGCAAGUCGAACGGAAAGGCCCUGCUUUUGUGGGGUGCUCGAGUGGCGAACGGGUGAGUAACACGUGAGUAACCUGCCCUUGACUUUGGGAUAACUUCAGGAAACUGGGGCUAAUACCGGAUAGGAGCUCCUGCUGCAUGGUGGGGGUUGGAAAGUUUCGGCGGGUGGGGAUGGACUCGCGGCUUAUCAGCUUGUUGGUGGGGUAGUGGCUUACCAAGGCUUUGACGGGUCGCCGGCCGGAGAGGGUGACCGGCCACAAUGGGACUGAGAUACGACCCAGACUCCUACGGGAGGCAGCAGUGGGGAACAUUGCACAAUGGGCGGAAGCCUGAUGCAGCAACGCUGCGUGCGGGAUGACGGCCUGCGGGUUGUAAACCGCUUUCGCCUGUGACGAAGCGUGAGUGACGGUAAUGGGUAAAGAAGCACCGGCUAACUACGUG
This 468-nucleotide ribosomal RNA is filed under the name uncultured bacterium. RNAcentral describes it as "partial 16S ribosomal RNA". It matches the Rfam family "Bacterial small subunit ribosomal RNA", at positions 28 to 507 of the family's 1533-position model. The record is from RNAcentral.